Molecule: long non-coding RNA, 1362 nt
Organism: Morus notabilis
Lineage: Eukaryota; Viridiplantae; Streptophyta; Magnoliopsida; Rosales; Moraceae
Exons: 3
Source: RefSeq, a predicted model, not a curated record
UUUUCCUAUUAUUCUUCGUAUCCUAUUGAGUGGAAGAUGUUCUUCAUACAUACUUUUCAUAGUCCCUAGAUCAGUUUGUAAAUUUUGUUUUUUAUUGCUCUGUUUUGGUUCUAAUAUUUUCUCUUAUUUUUUCUUAUUUCUAGAUUCUCAAAUAUUAGUUGUGCAAAGGAGUCGAGGUUACCUUCUCCAAACUGUGAUGCCGUUUUUUUUUCCCCCUUCUUGGUAGUUGCUGCAAGAAUUUGUGCUUUUCUUGAUUUCUUUAUUCAUAUAUGCACCAUAUAUUAUCCUCUCUGCCCUAAUAAUAUUAUAUUGUACUUGGUUUUUUAACCAUUGCAUUUGUAUAAGAUUUCGUUCGUUCGGAAGAAUGUGGAUUACGGAAUUUUAAGCAUAAUUUAUUGGAAUGAUCCCACCAAAAUCAUAAUUGUAUUUUGAAGUCAGGUUCGUCUUGCAUUCUCUACUUCUUCCCCCUUGCCCUCUGGUUCUAAAACUUGCUUUGGAUGAAUGAUGGUGGAGGUAUUGUCUCCGCGGCUGCAAAUCCUGUGAGAAGAGGGAGAUCUCAGAGGAAAUGGUAAAAGCUUUAUGAGCAAAUCCCAAUAUUUCCUCUCCAUUUCUAUGAUCCUGAUUGCCGCUCGCAAGGCCUGUGCCAAAAAGCUUCAAUGCCGCUGUCGUCAUCAGGGCUGGGGAAUUGGAGGUUUCAAAGAUGAUGAUGAGGAAGAAGACACAACCCAUGUUCCUUAAUCCAAUUCUUAUUUAAAGAGAGCACCAUUUCAUAAGCACUGCCCUUUUUUUUCUUUUCCUUUUCUCUCUGUUUUCUGGAUUUCGAAACUUCAUUGUGCAGUUUUUACCAUCUUUACACUAAUCAUAUUUCUCUUUAGAUCUACGAGCUAUUUGCUUGCGUGGAAAGGGAGACCUUGAUUCAAAACAAGUUUUAGGUUGUUAUUUUCUAUGUGAAACAUUGAUAUCAUUCUUUGUCAAAGUGAAAAGGAGUAUGUUGGGAGGACUCUAAGAGAAGGAAUCUUCACCAGGUUAAGGAGAAAAUACCUGCUUUCCUUGCUCGCCAUACGAUUGCUUGACUUAGUAUUGUCCUUGAUCCAUGUGCGGCACUAUUAGUUGUAAUAGUCACUGUUCUCUUGUGCAUUGAGAUCAUGGAGGUACUUUUUUUCUUCAACGUAGGUAUUUCUAGCCUAGAAGUCUUGAAAGAGUCUCUUGUGAUGGUUUAAACUGUAUUUAUACUUGUGGCCGGUUCAUAUGUUUCCUUUGUAUAUCUCUUAUUUUUUUUAAAACUCUUCAAGAUGAUUCUUUGUUAAUCUCGUCGGCGAAGAACCCAACGUUUGAAAAUUACAAUGUGAGUUAGUUACUUGU